This is a long non-coding RNA of Mustela erminea (ermine), 1506 nucleotides long. RefSeq lists it as uncharacterized. Lineage: Eukaryota; Metazoa; Chordata; Mammalia; Carnivora; Mustelidae. The transcript is spliced from 3 exons. The record is from RefSeq and is a predicted model, not a curated record.
AGCGGCUCGCGGUCACCACUUCUUUCAGGUCACUCUCGGGUUUCCCGGCCACCAUAAAGGGCCACGUCUGCAGGAGAGAAGAGAGUGGAGGAGAAGCUGACAUAACCCCUCCAACCUCCUUCAACCACCACCCUGAUACAUCAGAAACCACCAAUAUUGAGGCAAGACCCUCCAUCAGAAAAAGACUGACUUGCUGAAAGCUCCAGUGAUGGUUAGCAUUUUUCAUCAAUAAGGAUAUACCAAAAGAAAACAGACCAGCCUCUUUCCUGAUAAGAAAAGUAACCAAGAAGACCAUCCGCAAAACCAGGUUGUGAGGAUUUCUUUCUUUUUUUUUUUUUUUUUGUCAUGCGUCAAAAUAUGUUCAUAUACAUUGUCUUGGGCUGAUGAGAUAGGUUAUCUCUUAUGGAAAUUCAAAGAUGUUUAUACAAAAACAGUGAACAUAUGCAUUAGUUUCUUUAUCUUUGGAAAAGAAAGAAACUAGUGAAAAUGGAAAUUCCAGAAAUGUCUGCUUCUGAGAAUGAGAUCCGUUUCAAUUUUUCCAGCGCAUAACAAAACACUUAAAAAACUUAAGCCUUUAACUUCACAUACCAGGCUUGAGAAAAUUCACAAGAGCAACCUGGAUUUAGGGGGUUUAGACCAAGCCUUUGAAGUGUCUUAAAUCUCCUUGAGACCUAAAACACUGUUUAUAACCAACAGUUGCUUUGUAAAAACAAUGUUGAUGAGAUGUUUUUUAAUUUCAUUGUUAAAUUUUUAUAAGAAUAUGUGGGUUGGGAAAAGGGAGCAUCAGUAUUACAAGAUGAUUUCAUAAAUUUGAUUUAUUGAAUCUCAGAAAUGGGGAACAGGAUGCUUAGCAGGAAAGGGAUUUAUCAGUAGCUUUGUGUCCAGGAAGCAAAUGAAAAUAUGGGUAGCUGUAUUAACUACAGGUAGACCUAAUAAUUUCUGAAUGUUAGUAUAAGACAGGUAACACAGAAUCUUUAAUGGGUUUUUUUCUGUGGGUCUCUUUUGUUAUUGUCACGGAACCCAGUAUUUUUGGUGAACAUGACCUAGACUCUAUGGAAAAUACUCUAUCCACUGAUAUAUGUUUGGCCACAACAUUUUGUUUUUAAAGCAAAAUGUAAAUUUUAUUUAAAAGAGAAUCUGUGAAGAAAACUAGUUUGGGAAUGAAGUCUGUAUUAGUAUUUGGAACUGCUGACAGAGAGAGUUUUUUUCCUGAGAAAAACAUUUCACUAUCUUGCUGUGCUGUAUAUGUAUUUUUCACAUUUGUUUUGUAACUCACUUGUUCCUGGUUAUGUGUUUCUGUAACAUAGUCACUUUCUGGUAAAGAGAAGGCCACAGAAUGGAAGGAGAUGCAAUAAAGUCAUCCCCUUCCAAAAUGUUGAUUUCUUUUUUCUCAGCUAUUAAUUAGUCUGUUGGUCACUUUUUUCAUAAAGUAACAUCUCCUAGAAAACCAUGGACAGAAAUUUAUGCCACUGCUGAAUCCCAAAUAAAUAAAAAAGGUUAUAAUUA